CCAAAGUGGAAGCGAAGCAGGAGACAGCAGGAUGUUGCUGCGGCUGCUGCUUGUGUGUUGCACAGUGUAAGCUGCAAACACUAGAGCUGACAAAGCAAAGGCAACACAGGUCCAAAUCGCCAUGACAAGUGUAAAAAUGCAAUCACAGAGGCGUGGCAUCUUCAUGGAGUCGCUAUAUGCGUGGUUCGUGGCAGCGAACGAAUGUUGCCACCGAUGUUGCUGCCCCAGCUAACGUUGACAUUGCCAUGUCAUCACUCUCGCUCAGACAGUCAGUCAAGUUGGAGGCACUUCGCCGGGCGCCCCUAUCCGCAUUCUGGCUCACCCCGGGGGCUUAUGCUCCUGUUAUUUACAAUAGCGCAUUUUUACACAUAUUUUUUCAAAGUCAACAACAUGAUUUUCGCAGUCUACGCUGCGCGACGUGUGCAUAAAACCCAAACACAGCAGCAGAGCAACAGGGAAACAACAUUUACAUUUUAAGUAGUUUUUAAAUCGCUGCAGACAAACGUCAGCGUGUUGACAAUUUAUCAUGCUCCUGCUCCUGCUCCUUCGAAGUUGGAAGUGGGGGGCGCUGGGUGGUCAGUGGGUGGUUGCUGGUUGUGUGGUGCUGGGACGUGAUACAUCCGGCGCCACCCGUCGCGCUAAGGCCAGUGAAAUUUUUGAUUGAUUGCUGUCAGAUGGCGGAGUGUUUAAGCACAGACUGCAACUGUAUUUGCCAGCCGGAAGUAAAGUAAACUCGGAAAACUAC
Non-coding RNA from Drosophila melanogaster (fruit fly), 745 nucleotides. The record is from Ensembl. Lineage: Eukaryota; Metazoa; Arthropoda; Insecta; Diptera; Drosophilidae.